UGCAAGCAUUUAAAUGACUAAACUUAAUUAUUGAAUUUAUUUUACAAACAAACUGUUAAAUUCAAUAUUACAUAGCCUGAAAAAGUUAAAUGAUAAAAGGAAAAGACUUUUCAUGUCUCAUCCUGUAAGUCCAAAAAAGUGAAAAAAAGAAAUUUCAUGGUUCUCCUAAAACUGUAAGUUUCAUGGUUUUCAGAAGGAUGAGUAAAUCAU
RNAcentral lists this long non-coding RNA (210 nucleotides) under Carica papaya (papaya). RNAcentral's name for it is "long non-coding RNA (CPAP_LNC015692)". Lineage: Eukaryota; Viridiplantae; Streptophyta; Magnoliopsida; Brassicales; Caricaceae. The record is from RNAcentral.